AUGCGGCUGGGGCAGGGGAGGAGCUUGGGUGUGUUGGAGGAGGUCCUGCUGGAGGUGGUCGCCGGCGACGUUUGGGAGUCCCGGCGAGCUGCGGCUCGCCGCCGGCAGCGACGAGAACGGAGGAGAGGUGAUGCUCGGGCAGAGCACGCCCUGUGCACGGGCGCACUGGACCAUGGGUGCAAGAAAGCUUCAGAUCGGGAGCUCCUCUGCCGAUCGGAUUUGGAGGAGGCACCGGCGAGGUGGAUCGAGUGGGGUGCUGGUUGCGGGAGCUCGAGGAUUGAGGAAAGAGGAGGCCGAUGGAAUUUUGGAUCAGGGGCGGAUGAGGCUAGUGAUUGGCCCGGUGGGGAAUGGAAGGAUCCCGAGGUGGAGAUGCAGUGGACUGGUGGCGGCAGAGGGAUUCAGAGGAUGGGACAACUCUCCUCAAAAUUAGGGUUAUACUCAUAUUUAUAG
RNAcentral lists this ribosomal RNA (450 nucleotides) under Triticum aestivum (bread wheat). RNAcentral's name for it is "partial small subunit ribosomal RNA". The record is from RNAcentral. Lineage: Eukaryota; Viridiplantae; Streptophyta; Magnoliopsida; Poales; Poaceae.